Molecule: long non-coding RNA, 1637 nt
Organism: Gasterosteus aculeatus aculeatus (three-spined stickleback)
Lineage: Eukaryota; Metazoa; Chordata; Actinopteri; Perciformes; Gasterosteidae
Source: Ensembl
UGUCCGUUCCUCUGUUGUUCACUUCACUUCCUCCUUUGGAUUUCCCUUUUUUUUCCUCCUUAGGUUCAAUCUUUUCUUACUAGAACUUUAUCAUUCUUUGUUUUCUUUAUUUUCUUCUCACACACACACACACACACACACACACACACACAACCUAACCCCUCCAGGUCUCGCCGGUACUGGGGGCAGAUAUCCGGCUGUUACCCCCAGUCGGGGGACCACGGCUGUGGGAAGCGCCCCCCUGACCUCCGGGGCUCCCUGGUUCCGCGGUGCCUGUCGCCUGAGGCCCCCGGACGCCACCUGUACCCGGUGGUCUUCCUCCUGGUGUCCUCCCACCUGCUGGUCCUCUGGCUCAUCCUCAGCCUGGUGGUCCUGCUGGCCAGAGACCAGUAGGCCCGGGAGCGCCGGGAGCAUGGGUUUAUUUGUCCUCACGCAGAAACACGUACUUUUAUCAGAAAUCUUCUUCCAACCAUAUUUUCAGGACGGGUGCAGGAUGGACAACGUGCAGAAGAACGUGGGCAGCAGGAAGUUUGCCUUCAGCGGCGUUCAGCUGCUCACUUUCCCCAGACUGUACCGACCUCCAGACGGCAGCUUCGGAUAAAACACCCAUGGUUGUUUUUAUUCUGUGUACAGAUUUGUUGUUGUUUUUUCAUAAGAUUGAUUGUUUCAUACUGUGAGUCUCAUUGUUUUAAUGGUAACGUGUUUGACUAAUAAAGAAAUACUUUAUUUAUUUCCAACAAAUGUCUUAAACCAAAUUUUUGUCAGAAAUAAGCUGAUGGCAUGUGAUUAAAUAGACACUUAAAUAGGACAAAGAAAACAAACUAUAUUUAAAUAUAAUAUUCCUCAACAAUAUAACACUGUAUCAUUAGUACUUUCUCUUUACAUACAGUACAUUUUGCUGGUAAAACAAGGCGUUUUUUAAUCUAUAAUGGAGUAUAUAUUUUGGAAUGUGGUAUUUCUACUUCCACUGAGGUAAAUGAUCCAAAUAACUUGGAUUUGUAGUUUUAAGGUAACAGCUGUCUUCCGGGCCGCCAGGCGGCGCUGCGUCAAGUCAGGCGCAUUCACACAAGUAGUUAAAUGCUCUUCAAAAUAAAAGAGAACGGAUUUUAUUUAUCGAGUUCAACGCAUUAAUAGGAAUGAGGUACGACGGGCUUUUAUAAAGAAACGUUUUCUAAUUACAACGUGAGUCACAAAAGCGUUAAUUUAGCAAAACAAGCUCUUAGCGAGAAGAGAAUCGGCUUUUAUUUCUUUGUAAAGUCGCCGGAAGUCUGACGCCCCAUUAGCGCGAGCUUACCACCGGUCCGCUCAGGCCCAGUGAAAACAAAGCAGCGGUGGUCCUGAUGCGUUUGUAAACAUCCCUAAAAAAAGACAACCGGUAACUUUAUAACAAAGUCAAUCCCCCGCCGGGGGGGUCCGUCGUUAUCGCAUCGGCCUAACGGGUGGCUUUCGUCCCGGGGCCGUUGAUGCUCUCUGCUCCCGUUGGUGUUGUUGUGUUCUCGGUGACGGUUGAUAAUGGAGACGGCUAACGGGCACCCGAAGCUAACGCUAUGUAGCCUGCGAGCGGCGGAGGGCCGCGGCUGAAAUCACCGGAGAAAGGCGACAAAGGGCAGUGGGCGGUGAAAGCUAAAGACACGCAG